CCGCGGUAAAACCGGUUACUCCUACGGGUGCCAGCAGUGGGGAAUUUUCCGCAAUGGGCGAAAGCCUGACGGAGUGACGCCGCGUGUGGGACGAAGGCCUUCGGGUCGUAAACCACUGUCAGUGGGAAAGCGGUACCCUUGGAGGAAGCCCCGGCUAACUAC
RNAcentral lists this ribosomal RNA (162 nucleotides) under uncultured bacterium. Its description in RNAcentral is "partial 16S ribosomal RNA". It matches the Rfam family "Bacterial small subunit ribosomal RNA", at positions 305 to 504 of the family's 1533-position model. The record is from RNAcentral.